CAGGCCAAGAACGCUUUUGCGACAGGAGUUCACAUGUCUGAAAACGUAGUAGGCAAAACGCUACACAAGACAGAGACAAAGAUCCGUUAUUACCAUUACCACAACACCAUAACAGUGCACGAGGAGCUUUGCAGAGAGAUGUUACCUGUUUCGGCCAAGAAGAAGGUGACAUUGUACAAGAAGCUUCCAUUUGUGUAUGACGAUAACAUGAAGAAGCUAGUGAACACGAUUAAAGAGUUUGAGCAGAAAAAACUUGGGACCAAAGAUGUGAAGCAUUUCUCAUGACAAGAGAUAACAACCUAAUCCCUCUGAUAAUCAUUUUGUUUAUAAAGGUACAGUAGUUGUUUCCGUUUAGUUGUAUCAUCUGUUUUGUCCUCUUCUACUAUUUCAUUAAAAACAGAAUUUGAAUAUCGUUCUAGUUAAUUGAAAAUUUGAACUUAGCUACCCAUAGACUCAAAGAGACUGUUUUGUCGUUUACCAGCUUUAUAACCACAGAAAAUUUGAAGGAUUGAUUCAUGUUGUGUUUAUCUUUUUUGUGACAAAUUCGUUUAAACUCAUGAUGCUUAAGGUUUACCAAAGAACUUGCAACGCAUAGAGCGUAUGGAUACAAAGUAAGAAAAGCUUCACUAGUCUUAGAUUAACGAAAGUUUCACACACACAUAACAAACUGAAUCAAUCCAAGAACGCAAAUCAGAACAAACCAAACCCAUCUAACAAACUCAUAGAACAUCCAUGACAAGGACACUAAAGCAUAUAUCUCCAACAGUCUUCUGUCCAAAUACACAAUAAGAAGAGACAUAAAUCUUCGACUGUACCCACAAACAAACAACACAGAGGUCUACUGUAUAAAACGAUGAUCAUAUGUACUAUCAAAACAUAGUUUCCCAAAUCCUUGUGGUAGAAUACAACCAUACCAGUAGAAUAAACCCAAACAAAAGCAAUACAAGGAGGAUCUGAAAAGAUACAAGUCUAUACAUCUCACAAACUUUAAACGGUAAACAAAUCAUUCAAAUUCAACCUUUUAUAUGUUUCUAUAAGGAACCAAAUCCAGCAAACUUCAAAAAUAGAACAAAGAUUAAAGGAAUAAAUGUAACAAGAAAGUUGAAGUCAAAACGAAGUUUCAGACUCCAUCAUUUUUAUUCGAUUGUGUGUAACAGUGUAAGUAACAGCUUAUAGUUUUGUCUAUACAAAGACUCUUUUAGCGAACGAAAAAACUUGACAAAACCCGUAGAAGCUAACUCACACCGAAGAAGAUGUCCAUACAAAAUAUAGUUAAUCCUGUUGUUUAUCGGUUCUGUUCUUGUUUCCAUAUAUCAGACCAGUAACCUACAAUAUAACAAACCAUUGAUAACUUAUAAAUAACAUCCUAAGGAACGCAAAUGACUGAUUGAUUUUUUUUGUAGACUGACCUGAGGAUCAGCGAUUGGUCUCCUCUUCUCGACGUAUUCAUUCGCAUCAGCCACCGCGAGAAGUGCCCUUGCCUAAAUCAAACCAAAGAAGAAACUAAAAUAAGAGAUUCUUUUUUUUUUAGAGACCAUGAGUGUCGAGAUCGGUACCUGCUGUUCCUUUUUGAGAUCCUGAGCUGGUUUAACCCAAAGAUAGUAAGCGAUUGUUCCCGCGACGAGCCAAGAAGCGAGAUUCUGACCUCCUCUGAGUCCACCCAUGGAGUUUCCCACGAACGACCUCACGUUCCCCAUUGAUCUUCUCCAGUCGCUACCCAUUUGAUACCACUCUUUGAUCUCUUCAGUCACUUUGAUGGAUGAUUCGAUUUGUGAAUUAGAAAAGUAAAGCUUUGAUUUGGUCUGAUUCUAAUUUGCUUGGUGCCCACUGCGAAUACUAAACCGGGGUCGUCGAGACCGGUUAGUGGUGGCAAUUCAGCAAUCUGUGUUUUGUUUGUGAUUUGAACAUCGUGCGUCUGUAAUUUCUCCACGUAGCAUUAGGAGAUCUGAUCUAAUAUAUGGGCUGGAUAAAAUUGUUAGGCACAUCGACUUUGAAUAAGGUAGCUGUAGUAAAACCCACCUCGAUACAUAAUUUUUUUGGAAAAUGGAGGACGUUAGUACUAAUUUUCAUGAGAAUUCUUGGAAAAUGUCCGACAUUAGUACUACAGUAAAACCCACCUCGAUAAAUAAUUAUUUUGGAAAAUGUCGGACAUUAGUACUAAUUUUCAUGAGAAAGGACUAACAAUACUCAAUAGACCAGACACAGGCCAUAACCGAAUCCGGUUAUAGUAAGGGUGGUGUGUUGGUUGUGUACCCCUCUGAUUUUCUUGAAGAUGAAUGACUUGAAUACGCUUGAAUACGCGAUGAGGAUCCAGAAAAGCCCAAAGUAUUAAUGAUGAUAAUUUAUGAGUUGACUAAAUGAAUUGGGUUUGAGAUAACUCAGCAUACAGGUUUAUCAUGAUCAUCGUCCCGCCCCGCCCCGCAGUUAACAGUAACAAAAAUCUCUACAUAUACUAUAUAUCUAUAUAUUUUUAUAACUGUUAGAACCAUACUGCAAUUGAACCGCUUGUCCCGCACUAUAAAAUGAGAGAUAUAAACUAGAAACAUAAAGUUAAUUAUACAUAUGUUCGGUUAUCUUCGGAUAUCCAUUCGGGUUCGGGUAUUAUCCGUUCGGGUUCGGGUAUCCAAUCUCUCCUUAUUCAAUACCCGUUCGGGUAUUUUGCUACUUCGGUUCGGAUUUCGGUUCGGUUUUUUCGGAUCGGGUUCGGAUGCCACUUCGGGUAUCGGGUAAAGUGCCCACCCCUAUAACACACUACAUAGAGACAGCCACGAGUCUCUCCAUAAUAGAACACUUGUGUCGGCAAAAGCUACGAGUCACACUUCUCUCUUAUUACGCUUUUGUCGUAAAAAAGAAAAAAAAAAAAUUUUGAAACCGAAACGGUGCGUUUCGUUUCACCGGCGCCGGAAACAAUGAGGAAGGAGAUUCUGCCGCCGGUGUCCACCACCACCGUCUGUUUAGAGAAUAAGCCACUGGUCGCUACAUUGCUAGCUCUCUCCCUCGUCAUGAUCAUCUGGAACCUUCCACCUUACUACCACAACCUCAUCUCCACCGCUCCUCCCUGCUCCGCCUCUCCCACCACCACCGCCACCACCAUACUCUCCUCCUCCUCCUCAUUUUCUCCACCUGAGAAUUUCGCCACCUCUCUCUCCGCCACGCCGGCAACUUCUCCUCCGUCAGAUCCGAACAAACGCGUUUUCCAACCGUUCGGAAACGCGGCGGCGCUGUUCGUCCUCAUGGGAGCUUACCGCGGCGGUCCAUCAUCCUUCUCCGUCGUCGGACUCGCCUCAAAGCCAAUCCACACCUUCGGGAAGCCAUGGUUCAAGUGCGAGUACCUAUCCAACAACGGAACCACAACACGAGCCACCAAAGCCGUGAAGAUCCUCCCGGACUGGGGCUACGGACGAGUCUACACCGUCGUGGUCGUCAACUGCACGUUCCACUCGAACCCCAACUCCGAUAACUCCGGAGGUAAACUCAUCCUCAACGCCUACUACAACGAACCUCCCACACUCUUCGAGAGGUUCACGGCCCUCGAGGAGGGCGCAGGGUCUUACAACGAGUCGAGAUUCUCGCCGCCGUAUCCGUACGAGUACCUCUACUGCGGCUCGUCGCUGUACGGGAACGUGAGCUCGUCGCGUAUGAGGGAGUGGAUGGCUUACCACGCUUGGUUCUUUGGUGAUAAAUCGCAUUUUGUCUUUCACGAUGCCGGUGGUGUUUCGCCGGAGGUUAGGGAGGUUCUUGAGCCGUGGAUUCGAGCAGGGAGGGUCACGGUUCAGGACAUUAGGGACCAGGCUCGGUACGAUGGUUAUUACUAUAAUCAGUUUUUGAUUGUGAAUGAUUGUUUGCAUCGGUAUCGUCACGCUGCGGAGUGGACGUUUUUCUUUGAUGUUGAUGAGUAUAUUUAUUUGCCUGAUGGGAAUACGCUUGAAUCGGUUCUUGCUGAGUUUUCGGAUUAUACUCAGUUCACUAUUGAGCAGAACCCAAUGUCUAGUGUUCUUUGCUUGAACGAUUCAACUCAAGAUUAUCCCAGGUAUUGCUUCCUCAGUCUCCUUUGUAAUGCAAUUGAAUUCAAAGAAGUCAAUUGUUAUUGUUAGUACUUGGUAGAACCGAGCAUUCAUUCGUUUUUUGGUUUGAUUGUUUUAGUUUUCGGUUCUUUGUUAAAUAGAAAUUAGAAGAUAUCGGAACUGUCAAAGUAUUUUAUAAAAUUGGGUCGGGUUUGGUUCUUUAGUUCUGGUAAAAACAUUAACAACAACUAAUACCUGAAAAGUUGCUCAAAAAAGAAAAAAAAACUGAAAAAAUGAAAUUCAGUUUGGAUGUUAGACAAUUUGGAUUGUUUGAAAUAAAAUACUGGAUAAUUCGGACUAAUUCAUAUAAUUUGGAUAUAAAUAUUCGGAUACAAACAUAAAUUUUGAUAAUUCCUAGACUGUAGUUAUUUUAAAAUUAAAGAUAAUAGAUAUAUUAGUUGUAUUUCGGGUAUUAUAAUCCGAUUCGGUUUAGUAAUUUUAGUAUAGAGAAACAUGAACCAUUUAGAUGGUUUUCUGUUCGGUUCUUUGGAAUUUGGAACGCCUAAGCGUAAUUGUAGGAUAGAACCUUGGAAAUUAGCUUUUAAUUUGAUCAGUGAUGUUUCUGAAAAGAAAAACACUUGUUUUCUUGUUUGGUGUGUAUUUGUUAUCAGGCAAUGGGGAUUUGAGAAGCUACUAUUCAGAGAAUCAAGAACAAACAUACGACGUGACAGGAAAUAUGCGAUCCAGGCCAAGAACGCUUUUGCGACAGGAGUUCACAUGUCUGAAAACGUAGUAGGCAAAACGCUACACAAGACAGAGACAAAGAUCCGUUAUUACCAUUACCACAACACCAUAACAGUGCACGAGGAGCUUUGCAGAGAGAUGUUACCUGUUUCGGCCAAGAAGAAGGUGACAUUGUACAAGAAGCUUCCAUUUGUGUAUGACGAUAACAUGAAGAAGCUAGUGAACACGAUUAAAGAGUUUGAGCAGAAAAAACUUGGGACCAAAGAUGUGAAGCAUUUCUCAUGACAAGAGAUAACAACCUAAUCCCUCUGAUAAUCAUUUUGUUUAUAAAGGUACAGUAGUUGUUUCCGUUUAGUUGUAUCAUCUGUUUUGUCCUCUUCUACUAUUUCAUUAAAAACAGAAUUUGAAUAUCGUUCUAGUUAAUUGAAAAUUUGAACUUAGCUACCCAUAGACUCAAAGAGACUGUUUUGUCGUUUACCAGCUUUAUAACCAC
RNAcentral lists this long non-coding RNA (5241 nucleotides) under Brassica napus (rape). RNAcentral describes it as "long non-coding RNA (BNAP_LNC003710)". The record is from RNAcentral. Lineage: Eukaryota; Viridiplantae; Streptophyta; Magnoliopsida; Brassicales; Brassicaceae.